UGGGGAAUAUUGGACAAUGGGCGAAAGCCUGAUCCAGCCAUGCCGCGUGUGUGAAGAAGGUCUUCGGAUUGUAACGCACUUUAAGUUGGGAGGAAGGGCAGUAAGCGAAUACCUUGCUGUUUUGACGUUACCGACAGAAUAAGCACCGGCUAACUCUGUGCCAGCAGCCGCGGUAAUACAGAGGGUGCAAGCGUUAAUCGGAAUUACUGGGCGUAAAGCGCGCGUAGGUGGUUCGUUAAGUUGAAUGUGAAAGCCCCGGGCUCAACCUGGGAACUGCAUCCAAAGCUGGCGAGCUAGAGUAGGGCAGAGGGUGGUGGAAUUUCCUGUGUAGCGGUGAAAUGCGUAGAUAUAGGAAGGAACACCAGUGGCGAAGGCGACCACCUGGGCUCAUACUGACACUGAGGUGCGAAAGCGUGGGGAGCAAACAGG
RNAcentral lists this ribosomal RNA (429 nucleotides) under Pseudomonadota bacterium. RNAcentral describes it as "Proteobacteria bacterium partial 16S ribosomal RNA". It matches the Rfam family "Bacterial small subunit ribosomal RNA", at positions 355 to 776 of the family's 1533-position model. Lineage: Bacteria; Pseudomonadati; Pseudomonadota. The record is from RNAcentral.